This 211-nucleotide long non-coding RNA is filed under the name Sorghum bicolor (sorghum). RNAcentral's name for it is "long non-coding RNA (SBIC_LNC004865)". The record is from RNAcentral. Lineage: Eukaryota; Viridiplantae; Streptophyta; Magnoliopsida; Poales; Poaceae.
GCGCCGUUGCCGGGGAGAAAGACAGUUUGCUGAGAUAACUUUGAGUCUUGCUAUUAUCUUGUAUUAUACUUUUAUACUUUUAUUCUUUUAUCUUUUUAUUUUUAUCUUUAUGGAUAACUCAAAUUCCAUACCUAUUAUUAAAUUCUUUGCACCUUCGGAGACCAACCAUAGACCAUGGGAGUCAACACGUCCUGCCCCUAAUUAUGAUCUG